UACGAGGGGUGCAAGCGUUGCUCGGAAUUAUUGGGCGUAAAGGGUAGGUAGGUGGUCUCGUUUGUCUGGGGUGAAAGCCUUGAGCUUAACUCAAGAAGUGCCCCAGAAACGGCGAGACUGGAGUCUUGGAGAGGGUCGUGGAAUUCCCGGUGUAGCGGUGAAAUGCGUAGAGAUCGGGAGGAACACCAGAGGCGAAGGCGGCGACCUGGACAAGUACUGACGCUGAGGUGCGAAAGCGUGGGGAGCAAACAGG
RNAcentral lists this ribosomal RNA (253 nucleotides) under uncultured bacterium. RNAcentral describes it as "partial 16S ribosomal RNA". It matches the Rfam family "Bacterial small subunit ribosomal RNA", at positions 524 to 776 of the family's 1533-position model. The record is from RNAcentral.